Molecule: long non-coding RNA, 400 nt
Filed under: Phoenix dactylifera (date palm)
Lineage: Eukaryota; Viridiplantae; Streptophyta; Magnoliopsida; Arecales; Arecaceae
Description: long non-coding RNA (PDAC_LNC009722)
Source: RNAcentral
GAGUGACAUCUUGAAUUGCCUUCGAUUCCAAAUGGCCAUUUAACCUGCAAACAUCCCUCUCAUGAUUACAACUUUUUGGAAAAGACAAACAUGGUCAUGCCCCUCAUAAAUGUAGAAUGUGGAGAAUAUCCAUUCUUCGAUGAGAAUGCAGUUCGUAUCCUCCUCAACAAUUUUUGUUAAAUGAUUCUAUCAAGAAAGCUACUUCUGCAACUCGAGUCAGCAAGCUCGGCUCGACUAUAGAAGUAGGGCUGUAGGGGGCAAGUGAUAUGCAUCAAAACCAACUACAAUUCAUGCGAGGGGCCAUCCAACUAAAGCUCAUCAUGAAGCCAGUAAAUCACCAAUCGGGGCAGCCACUUGGUAUGCCUAGAAGUGCAUGGUCAAGUUUGAAUUUUAAGCCGCU